This is a long non-coding RNA of Etheostoma spectabile (orangethroat darter), 2066 nucleotides long. RefSeq lists it as uncharacterized. NCBI's taxonomy places the organism in Eukaryota, Metazoa, Chordata, Actinopteri, Perciformes, Percidae. The transcript is spliced from 2 exons. The record is from RefSeq and is a predicted model, not a curated record.
UGCCACACGCACACACACACAGCCAGCACGUUAGCGGCCGGUGCGAGGAGAUAACAGAGAUAUUAACAUUUUAAUAUAAUUACAUAUAUCAUCUAAACAUUUGAAAAAGUACGUUGGGAACUAUACCGCUGCCAGGGAGCCUUGAGGGAUUUUCGUUGUGUGGGAUUUUCGUCGUGUUUGUCCGACGUGAAACUUGGUCAAGUUGUUUGGUUCCUUGGAAAGAUUUGAAGUUUGAUGGGGAGCCACCCAACUAGAACUACAAAAUCUUAAAGGACGGUAUUCUAUUUUAUUUUAUUUUAUGUCAUGGACUAAAGACAAGCACAUGACUCUUGUAAAGAAAAGGUUUUGAAUAUUGUAUUUUAUUUCUUUUAUUUCAAUUGCAUACACUAUAUAGACAUCUUAGGCUCCUUAGAAGGGUGGCCCCUAGGGUUUUACAUCCAUGCUGUAUACUAUUCAUGUCCAUAAAUACAUAAAUAUUUUCAUUCUUUCUUUAAUAAUUGUGUCGUUACUGUUAUUGUUUCAGUCUACUACCUCCUUCUUAUCUAAAUCUUCUUUAUUUAGGAAAAGUAAUGACGUAAAAGUUUCCAGAAAUAUAUAUAAAAUAUAAUAUAUAUAGUCUAACAAUGUAUAUAAAUUUACAUAUAACGCAGUAAAAGUACAGCUACGUGACAAUUCUACUUAAGUACAGUAACAAAGUAUUUUUACUUUGUUACAUUACAACCCUGGUUUAGUACAAACCUAAAUUGUGAAAUGAAAAAUAACUAGUAGAACCUUUAGAACAGCUCAUUACCAAAAGUUGUAGAAACAGGCAGGUGUAUUGGUCUCGCUGAAAAGAAAAUAUUUUGUCUGCUGAUUUAGGUGAGACUGACGAUGUUUUAUUUCUCAUUAUAAGAUUAUUUAUAGGCUUUUUGCUUUAGGAAAAUGUCUUAGUUUCUGUUUGGUUCUUUGGGAUGAUUGACUUAGACUGUAGAAAAUGAGUCUAUGAUGGAUGAUUUUAAGUAAUGUGAGUGUUUUUGGAAGGCAACCUUUUGUUUGGCCGAUUUCAUGCCUGGGACAAAAGAUAAAGUUCUUUGUUUUACAAUGUCUUUUAUGAAGGUAUGUGCAUGUCUGACCAUGUCUCACCACUGCAAAAGUUCUUUGUGUGUGUCCUAUAAGUCCGUGUGAGCUGGGCACUAGGUGACACAAUACCUACAACUUUUAACUUCACAUACUGUACAGUUUACUUUAUUGUGGUGCCACCUUCUGGUGGCCACCUUAAGGUUCCACAAACCACAGUACAAUAAACAACCAGACAUUACACUCACUUUUUGAAGCUAUUAGCAUAAAAACAAUACAACUGUGGAAGCCUAGCACAAGAUAGGAUACAAAUCAGCCAUUUAGAUAACACACGUUCUUUGUGCCUCAUACUGUGAACUUCUGCACAUUCCCAAAGCAUUUAGAACUUUAACAUAAAAACUGCAAAUUAUAUUGGAUUUGUUUAAUAAAUAUUUUUUAUAUUUUUAUUUUACAUUAGUCUAUUUUAUAUUAGUUUCUCCACCUUUGCAGUACUUGCCUUUUAUUUUCUGAUUAUUGUUAUAGGGCAUUGAUGCAUGAACUAUUGCGAAAUCAGACAUUAGGCUGUUUUUGGAACUUGUUUUGAGGUCAAAUGUUGCUACUGGCCAUUACCUAAGUCCAACUAUACAUUUUUAAUCCAGAGGCAGCUUCACUUCAAACAAAUCUGAAACUAAUUAGAAAUCGUGUAUUAUUUAGUCCUCAUUUCCAAUUUAGAGUUGCUUCUCCACUAUACUGUUGAAGUAUAAUUUGACAGCAGAUGUGAGAACAGGAAUCAGUUGCGUGUUACGUUGCACUUAUUCACUUGUGCAGCCACCAGCUAUUCUUUUUAAAUGAAAAAUCUCAAACCCCAGAGUGUUUGAAUUAUUUAUGUGUUCACUUGAACAGCUACAUGUUCUACACAUUAGGUCCUUGAAAAUUGACAGGUAGCCUUGGGAGAUAUUAAGAUGAGUAAAAUUAAAAGAAAAAACAAAACUUCUUAAAAAAAAAAGACCUUUAUUGAAGACAUUCUUAAA